ACACUCCUGCGGGAGGCAGCAGUGGGGAAUAUUGCACAAUGGGCGCAAGCCUGAUGCAGCCAUGCCGCGUGUAUGAAGAAGGCCUUCGGGUUGUAAAGUACUUUCAGCGGGGAGGAAGGCAAUACGGUUAAUAACCGUGUUGAUUGACGUUACCCGCAGAAGAAGCACCGGCUAACUCCGUGCCAGCAGCCGCGGUAAUACGGAGGGUGCAAGCGUUAAUCGGAAUUACUGGGCGUAAAGCGCACGCAGGCGGUCUGUCAAGUCGGAUGUGAAAUCCCCGGGCUCAACCUGGGAACUGCAUUCGAAACUGGCAGGCUUGAGUCUUGUAGAGGGGGGUAGAAUUCCAGGUGUAGCGGUGAAAUGCGUAGAGAUCUGGAGGAAUACCGGUGGCGAAGGCGGCCCCCUGGACAAAGACUGACGCUCAGGUGCGAAAGCGUGGGGAGCAAACAGGAUUAGAUACCCCGGUAGUCCCAUGAU
RNAcentral lists this ribosomal RNA (477 nucleotides) under uncultured organism. RNAcentral describes it as "partial 16S ribosomal RNA". It matches the Rfam family "Bacterial small subunit ribosomal RNA", at positions 333 to 801 of the family's 1533-position model. The record is from RNAcentral.